Molecule: long non-coding RNA, 276 nt
Filed under: Elaeis guineensis (African oil palm)
Lineage: Eukaryota; Viridiplantae; Streptophyta; Magnoliopsida; Arecales; Arecaceae
Description: long non-coding RNA (EGUI_LNC064849)
Source: RNAcentral
GGGAAUUGAUUGUGAAAGAUAGUGGGGUAGACCCGUGGCCAUCGUCAUAGCCCGCCACGUAGGGCCUGUUGCAGGUAGUGGAGCGGCGCCCAUUGCCGCUAGUUGUCAGCGAGUAGUGGGAUCGUGCAGCACCUGCCGCAGGGAGCGGAGCAGCAUCGUGGCCGUUGACACAGCCUGUCAGAGAGUAAUGGGUCCGCCGUAGGGGGUGAUGGAGCCGCACGGAAUCUGCUACAGGAAGUGGAACAGGAUCAUGGUUGUUAUUGUGAUCUGCCAAGG